AAAGCAAACCGUUCUAUCGUUCCGGCUUAUGCCGGAAAGGAAAGUCCGGGCAACAAAGAGCAUUUCGCUUCCUAACGGGAAGGGUUACGCCUUGGGGUGUAAUACGGAAAGUGCCACAGAAAAUAAACCGCCCCUAUUUUUGGGGUAAGGGUGAAAACGCGAGGUAAGAGCUCACGGCUAUUUAUGGUGACAUAUUUGGCGGUAAACCCCGGAAGUUGAAAGGUCAAAUAGGUUCCGAAUGGAGUUGCUCGCUCUUUCCUGGUUUUAUAACCAGGUUUCGGAAUGGGUAGACCGUUUGAUCCUGUUAGUGAUGACAGGGCUAGAUAAAUGAUAGAACAUCUUAACUUAUAGAAUAGGAAGAUGACAGAACCCGGCUUACAGGUUUGCUUUUUUU
Molecule: RNase P RNA, 394 nt
Filed under: bacterium A37T11
Lineage: Bacteria
Description: Bacterial RNase P class A
Rfam family: Bacterial RNase P class A
About the family: Ribonuclease P (RNase P) is a ubiquitous endoribonuclease, found in archaea, bacteria and eukarya as well as chloroplasts and mitochondria. Its best characterised activity is the generation of mature 5'-ends of tRNAs by cleaving the 5'-leader elements of precursor-tRNAs.
Source: Rfam by way of RNAcentral